Molecule: ribosomal RNA, 181 nt
Filed under: uncultured bacterium
Lineage: Bacteria
Description: partial 16S ribosomal RNA
Rfam family: Bacterial small subunit ribosomal RNA
Source: RNAcentral
ACUCGACUCCGUGAAGCUGGAUUCGCUAGUAAUCGCGCAUCAGCCAUGGCGCGGUGAAUACGUUCCCGGGCCUUGUACACACCGCCCGUCAAGCCAUGGGAGCCGGGGUACCUGAAGUCCGUAACCGCGAGGAUCGGCCUAGGGUAAAACUGGUGACUGGGCUAAGUCGUAACAAGGUACC